Malus domestica (apple) is the source of this 519-nucleotide non-coding RNA. NCBI's taxonomy places the organism in Eukaryota, Viridiplantae, Streptophyta, Magnoliopsida, Rosales, Rosaceae. The record is from RefSeq and is a predicted model, not a curated record.
CUUCCCGUGAACAAACCACCACCACCACGAAAAUUUUGGCUUGUUGAACACCAAAACCACAUUUAUCUGCAUGUCCUCACCACCAUAAACUCUGUUGUGAUUUUUGUUUCAUUGAAAACGAACCCGAAACACGAGUUCGAAGAACAAGGUUUUGGGCCGAGAGUCGAGACUUAUAGGUGUGAUUCAGAUAAUUUUUCAACCAUCUUUUGAACUCAAAGCAGUUUCCGGCGAAACCGUAACCUUCCAGAUCAUUUUUCAGCCAAACCAUGGUGAGUUAGCCAUCAAGAAAGCGAGUUACUCGUUUUCUCGCGGACAGCCAUUUUCCUGCCACCAUUUGGGCUUCAAGCAGGCGACGAUCGGAUGUGGAUGCCUCAAUAUUCGAGCUAGGGAUUCGUAGUGCGGGCUCCAGGUUAUUGUUUGCCCAUUGCACCAUUCCCAUGGUGUAUGGACGAUUGUGCGAGUUUUAGUAGAUACGAGGAGCUUUGGGGUAGCAGACAGAGUUCAGAGAGCUUGAAGUGU